This 238-nucleotide long non-coding RNA is filed under the name Nicotiana benthamiana. Its description in RNAcentral is "long non-coding RNA (NBEN_LNC007186)". The record is from RNAcentral. Lineage: Eukaryota; Viridiplantae; Streptophyta; Magnoliopsida; Solanales; Solanaceae.
AUUUAUAAUAUCAUUACACAAUAAGUAGUCCAAAGGCAGCUUGAAAAGUACCCGCAAAGACAGCAAUAAGCACAAUAACAACAACAAAAACAACAACCCUCCAAAAGGUUGCACAUUUACAGUCCUUGCUCUGUGGAAUGAACAACAGAUCCUUCUAUGAGGCCCUCAACAAGGAUAUCUUCAACUAGGCAGAUCUGUAAAGUGAAUGAUAGUGAAGAGUUCACGUUGCAGUCUUCAG